This 468-nucleotide ribosomal RNA is filed under the name uncultured bacterium. RNAcentral describes it as "partial 16S ribosomal RNA". It matches the Rfam family "Bacterial small subunit ribosomal RNA", at positions 29 to 507 of the family's 1533-position model. The record is from RNAcentral.
AACGAACGCUGGCGGCGCGCCUAACACAUGCAAGUCGAACGGGGCUGAGAGAAGCUGGCUUUUCUUAGCUCGUUGGCGAAGGGGUGAGUAACGCGGGAGUAACCUGCCCUGGAGUGGGGUACAACAGUUGGAAACGACUGCUAAUACCGCAUGAGCCCACGAUCCGGCAUCGGAUUGCGGGAAAAGGAUUUUUUCGCUUUAGGAUGGACUCGCGUCCAAUUAGCUAGUUGGUGAGGUAACGGCCCACCAAGGCGACGAUUGGUAGCUGGACUGAGAGGUUGAUCAGCCACAUUGGGACUGAGACACGGCCCAGACUCCUACGGGAGGCAGCAGUGGGGGAUAUUGGACAAUGGGCGAAAGCCUGAUCCAGCGAUGCCGCGUGGAUGAAGAAGGUUUUCGGAUUGUAAAGUCCUGUCGUUAGGGACGAUAAUGACAGUACCGAGCAAAUAAGCACCGGCUAACUCCGUG